GACAAAUCAACCACACUGGAUGGAUUACUAUAUCAUUUUUCUAAGGGAAUAUACUUUGACAGGGGUCGCGGGGGGCGCUGGAGCCUAUCCCAGCUGUCAUAGGGCGAGAGGCAGGGUACACCCUGGACAGGUGGCCAGUCUGUCACAGGGCCAGAGAACCAUUCGCACCUAGUGGCAAUUUGGAUUAUCCAAUUAACCUAUCCCCACAAGUUGCAUGUCUUUGGACGGUGGGAGGAAGCCGGAGUACCCGGAGUGAACCCACGCAAACACGGGGAGAACAUGCAAACUCCACACAGAAAGACCCCAGCCUGAUGGUGGAAUUGAACUCAGGACCUUCUUGCUGUGCGGCAACAGUGCUAACCACCGUGCCACCGUGCUGCAUGUGAACAGGAAAAUGACAGACGAGCUCUGGAUUAAUUAACCAAUUAGAAGUGGAGCCCCUGGGAGGCGUUUGAGGGUCCAAUCCCCUUGUUGUCAUUAGACACACAUACAUGGCCUCAAUUAGGCAGUGCUGUGAUAGGUCUCAUUGACUGGAAGAUGCAUCUCCAGGAGCAGUGUUUGUCUCCCCCCUUGAGUGACUGAGUAGCUCGAUUCAAUUAUAUCGGAAUCCCCAUAUUGAAGAUUUUGAGCAUCACUGUCUUUUCUCUUCUAUGUUGUCUUUCUUUCUGCAGAGAUCAAUGUCCUCUCCGUAGCUCUAAGCAACAGGCAUGUCAACUUUGUGUCUGUAAAUUUACAGAAAGUCUGUCUCACACUGAGCCCAUGCAUUGUUAUUGGUCAGGAACACAGAGGGAGAAUAAUGACUAAAUGAAAGGAUAAAAGGAAGAAUCUAUAUCCUACCAUGUUCAUAUGUUUGUAAGGUUCUUUCCCACCUUCUUAACUUGACUGACAGGGGCUGGAUACUUGAGGACUGAGUGUACACUACAGUAUGCUGUGUGUCAGCACUGAUUGGCCUUAUUAGGACAACACCGCAGACGGCCACAGACACAGCAGGGGAGUGUUGAUGCUGCUAGAGACAAGACAAGACAAGUUCACCACUUCUCAUCAUUUACUCAUUUGUCUUUUCACUUGGCCAGCAAUCACAGCUGAUCUCUACAGUAUGUAACCAUAACGGCUAAAUGACAGCCUAACCUUUUGGUCACCAGGGGACACUAAUGCAAGACUCUCAGUUUGUUUUGCUAGCAUACUGAGCCCCACAAAAUGUUUAGUAUGUUGUAAUGAGGCUCCAGUGGGCUGGUUAAUGUUUUCAUACAUAAUGUUGAGGCCUACAAAAAUGAGUCAUAAUAAGCUAAUCUUCUCAAAGUUGAAAGCCUGUCUUCACUUUGCAUGUUGCUAUGGCCCAGCCCCCAUGCCACAACAAAAAAAAUGAAAGGACAUGACAGUGAAAGAUUAAACUGAG
Astatotilapia calliptera (eastern happy) is the source of this 1396-nucleotide long non-coding RNA. Lineage: Eukaryota; Metazoa; Chordata; Actinopteri; Cichliformes; Cichlidae. The record is from Ensembl.